Molecule: ribosomal RNA, 470 nt
Filed under: uncultured bacterium
Lineage: Bacteria
Description: partial 16S ribosomal RNA
Rfam family: Bacterial small subunit ribosomal RNA
Source: RNAcentral
GACGAACGCUGGCGGCGUGCUUAACACAUGCAAGUCGAACGGUGAACGAGGGAGCUUGCUCCUCCCGGCUCAGUGGCGGACGGGUGAGUAACACGUGAGCAAUCUGCCCCGAACACUGGGAUAAGCGCUGGAAACGAGGUCUAAUACCGGAUAAGACAUGGGAGGGCAUCCUCUACUCGUGGAAAGAACUUCGGUUAGGACUGCGCUCGCGGCCUAUCAGCUUGUUGGUGAGGUAACGGUUCACCAAGUCAAAGACGGGCAGCCGGCCUGAGAGGGGAACCGGCCACGCUGGGACUGAGACACGGCCCAGUCUCCACCGGGAGGCAGCAGUGGGGAAUAUAGCAUAACGGGCGCAAGCCAGAUGUAGCGACGCCGCGUGGGGGACGACGGCCUUCGGGUUGUAAACCUCUGUUAGCAGAUAAGAAGCGAAAGUGACGGUACCUGCAGAAAAAGCACCGGCUAACUACGUG